RNAcentral lists this unclassified non-coding RNA (283 nucleotides) under rhizosphere metagenome. RNAcentral's name for it is "partial ribosomal RNA internal transcribed spacer region". The record is from RNAcentral.
GUAAGUCUACAACCCGCAUCCCUUUCAUUCUGAAUCGUUACUAACAACCUCAUAGGUAGGUGAACCUGCGGAAGGAUCAUUACCGAGAUAGGGUCCUCUGGGCCCGAACCUCCCACCCAUUGUUUACUUACCUUUGUUGCUUUGGCGGGCCGUGGGGCGUCAGCCCCCCGUCGACUUCGGUGGACGAGCGCCCGUCAGAAGCCCCAAUUCAAAUUCUGUUAAUUAGUGAAGUCCGAGUCUUAAUAAAUAAGCAAAACUUUCAACAACGGAUCUCUUGGUUCUG